GGCGGAUUAAUACCGUAUGAGGUCACAUGCGGGCAUCUAAGUGUGACGAAAGGUUUUGCGGACAUGGAUGGGGAUGCGUCCGAUUAGCUGGUUGGCGGGGUAACGGCCCACCAAGGCGACGAUCGGUAGGGGUUCUGAGAGGAAGGUCCCCCACAUUGGAACUGAGACACGGUCCAAACUCCUACGGGAGGCAGCAGUGAGGAAUAUUGGUCAAUGGACGCAAGUCUGAACCAGCCAAGUAGCGUGCAGGAUGACGGCCCUAUGGGUUGUAAACUGCUUUUAUGCGGGGAUAAAGUGAGGGAUGUAUCCCUUUUUGUAGGUACCGCAUGAAUAAGGACCGGCUAAUUCCGUGCCAGCAGCCGCGGUAAUACGGAAGGUCCGGGCGUUAUCCGGAUUUAUUGGGUUUAAAGGGAGCGUAGGCCGUCGUUUAAGCGUGUUGUGAAAUGCCGCGGCUCAACCGUGGCACUGCAGCGCGAACUGGAUGACUUGAGUUCGCGGGAGGUAGGCGGAAUUCGUGGUGUAGCGGUGAAAUGCUUAGAUAUCACGAAGAACUCCGAUUG
RNAcentral lists this ribosomal RNA (560 nucleotides) under uncultured Bacteroidales bacterium. Its description in RNAcentral is "bacterial SSU rRNA". It matches the Rfam family "Bacterial small subunit ribosomal RNA", at positions 157 to 715 of the family's 1533-position model. Lineage: Bacteria; Pseudomonadati; Bacteroidota; Bacteroidia; Bacteroidales. The record is from RNAcentral.